AUUGUUCAAGUUUAUUCGCGGAGGCAAGAGACAAAUGAUACAUGUCCCACGCCAGUUCCUGCAUCAUCUGAUUCUUCUUUGCCUGAUCCUCGAGAUAACCUUGAUCUUCCUAUUGCUCUUCGCAAAGGUACACGUACUUGCAAAUCGACAUAUUCUGUUGCUAACUUUCUUUCCUAUGACCACUUAUCCUCUACGUCUAGAUCUAUGAUUGCUUCUCUAGACUCCAU
RNAcentral lists this long non-coding RNA (227 nucleotides) under Nicotiana benthamiana. Its description in RNAcentral is "long non-coding RNA (NBEN_LNC020243)". The record is from RNAcentral. Lineage: Eukaryota; Viridiplantae; Streptophyta; Magnoliopsida; Solanales; Solanaceae.